GUCUACGGCCAUGCUACCCUAAAGAAGCCCGAUCCCAUCUGAUCUCGAAAGCUAAGAAGGGUUAGUACUUGGAUGGGAGACCACCUAGGAAGACCAGAUGCUAUAGGCG
RNAcentral lists this ribosomal RNA (109 nucleotides) under Pteropus alecto (black flying fox). Lineage: Eukaryota; Metazoa; Chordata; Mammalia; Chiroptera; Pteropodidae. The record is from RNAcentral.